GGUAGCGUGUGCCGAGCGGUCUAAGGCGCUGGAUUUAGGCUCCAGUCUCUUUGGAGGCGUGGGUUCAACUCCCACCGCUGCCA
Pelobates fuscus (common spadefoot toad) is the source of this 83-nucleotide non-coding RNA. The record is from the annotation of a RefSeq genome assembly. Lineage: Eukaryota; Metazoa; Chordata; Amphibia; Anura; Pelobatidae.